RNAcentral lists this unclassified non-coding RNA (153 nucleotides) under uncultured fungus. Its description in RNAcentral is "sequence contains ITS1, 5.8S rRNA gene". The record is from RNAcentral. Lineage: Eukaryota; Fungi.
CCAUGAGUGAGGGCCCCCGGCCUGACCUCCAACCCUUUGUCGUUACAAAACCACUGCUGCCUCGGGGGCGACCCGGCCUUCGGGCGUCGGGGCCCCCGGUGGACCACAUCAAAACGCUGCGUCUGUACGUCGAAUUACAAGAUAAAUGAAUCA